RNAcentral lists this transfer RNA (76 nucleotides) under Paenibacillus polymyxa. RNAcentral's name for it is "tRNA-Tyr". RNAcentral also lists the same sequence under 1 other name. Lineage: Bacteria; Bacillati; Bacillota; Bacilli; Caryophanales; Paenibacillaceae. The record is from RNAcentral.
GCUCCUUAUUGCUCAGACAGGAGAGAGCACACGCAUAUAAGGCGUGAUAUCGCUGGUUCGAAUCCAGGAGGGAGUA